UUUAAACCAACUGUGAAAUCCUCUAACCAGUUACAAGCUCUUGCUUCUCUUCCUCCAUAAAACUCCUCCUCUUUCUAUCUCUUGCACUGGUCAGUGAAUGAAUGAGCUGACAGUCUCAUCUCUCUAUCCAAAUUCCUGUCAAAUCUAUAAUUACCCAUAAAAUCCUCGCCGAUACUUCCAAAAAAAAAAAAAAAAAAAUAUAUAUA
RNAcentral lists this long non-coding RNA (206 nucleotides) under Jatropha curcas. RNAcentral's name for it is "long non-coding RNA (JCUR_LNC001356)". The record is from RNAcentral. Lineage: Eukaryota; Viridiplantae; Streptophyta; Magnoliopsida; Malpighiales; Euphorbiaceae.